RNAcentral lists this long non-coding RNA (425 nucleotides) under Carica papaya (papaya). RNAcentral's name for it is "long non-coding RNA (CPAP_LNC015046)". The record is from RNAcentral. Lineage: Eukaryota; Viridiplantae; Streptophyta; Magnoliopsida; Brassicales; Caricaceae.
CUCCUAAUUGGGAUUAUUUCAAGAGAUGGGCCAAGUUUGUUCGAACCAAAGGACUUAAGGUCCAAGUAAGAUUAAUGGGCUUAAAGAAUUGUAAGAAAGCCCACUCGUGAGCAAGGCUACCCGUACAUAUGUCAAACAUGCGGCUCGACCUGCACAACCCAUGAAAACACCUGCGUGCGCACACAGACCUCAAACACGAGCAUCUGAGAAUGCUCACGGACGCGGCCCUCAAGGCCUACAUUAAACCGACAAUGCGCGUGCAGGCCCAAGGUGCUGAAUGCGCACAUUCGCACGGAGGGGCCUGAAGCAAACCCAAACAUGCUAACCCACAAUUCUUACGAGCCUUUUCCUGUGCAGCCCGUGCGGACCAGCCAGCCCCGCCCAUUCGGGUGACCCAAACCCAGCCGACCCUUUCACUUUUUAAU